RNAcentral lists this ribosomal RNA (445 nucleotides) under uncultured bacterium. Its description in RNAcentral is "partial 16S ribosomal RNA". It matches the Rfam family "Bacterial small subunit ribosomal RNA", at positions 354 to 796 of the family's 1533-position model. The record is from RNAcentral.
GUGAGGAAUAUUGGUCAAUGGGUGGGAGCCUGAACCAGCCAAGUCGCGUGAAGGAAGAAGGAUCUAUGGUUCGUAAACUUCUUUUGCAGGGGAAUAAAGUGCGGGACGUGUCCUGUUUUGUAUGUACCCUGAGAAUAAGGAUCGGCUAACUUCGUGCCAGCAGCCGCGGUAAUACGGAGGAUCCGAGCGUUAUCCGGAUUUAUUGGGUUUAAAGGGUGCGUAGGUGGUUUGAUAAGUCAGCGGUGAAAGUUUGCAGCUUAACUGUAAAAAUGCCGUUGAAACUGUCGGACUUGAGUGUAAAUGAGGUAGGCGGAAUGCGUGGUGUAGCGGUGAAAUGCAUAGAUAUCACGCAGAACUCCGAUUGCGAAGGCAGCUUACUAAGCUACAACUGACACUGAAGCACGAAAGCGUGGGGAUCAAACAGGAUUAGAAACCCUGGUAGUCC